This 1098-nucleotide ribosomal RNA is filed under the name Triticum aestivum (bread wheat). RNAcentral describes it as "partial small subunit ribosomal RNA". The record is from RNAcentral. Lineage: Eukaryota; Viridiplantae; Streptophyta; Magnoliopsida; Poales; Poaceae.
AUGGGGAUCAAGCCGUCGUCAUUGCGACCCCCAUGGAGCUCGCCCGCGCCCCCUGCGACCGAAGGCGGUGGCACUCCCGUUUGGCUGCCGCACGACGUCGUCUUCGACAUCCUGUCGUGGAUGCCGGUGAAGUCGGCGUGCCGGUUCAAAUCCGUGUGCCGGGAGUGGCGCGCCCUCAUCAACGACCCUGGCUUCGUCGCCGCGCACAAGGCUCGUGCGGAGCCGCUCCUCGCCAUCGCCGCCAACUCGUGCGACGAGCCAUCGACCCUGCGGCUCAUCGACAUGGACGGCCACAUCAUCAAGGUGAUAAAAAACUCUCAUCCGAUUUUAAGGUUUGUCUGCAGCAGCCCUGGCAACCUGGUGUGUGUCGUCGGCUAUUCGCUGGAGACAGCCAGAGUGCUCAACCUUGCAACCGGAGAGGCCACUGUGAUUCACCGCAAAUUUAGCUUUAUGGGCUUCGGCCGCGCCGCCCCGUCGGGUGCCUACAAGAUGGUCAGCAUAAGUCCCAGCACCUGUGAGAUCCUCACGGUAGGGGAUGACGUGGGCUGGAGGCAAACGCAGCCCCUGCCUAGCAGCAUCUCCUAUAACAGCCGCCCUGUCGUGGUCAGGGGUGUCAUGUACUUGAUGUUAGCUCCACAGCUCAAUGGUGAUAGCGUGACCUGCUUCGAUCUGGAGAGUGAGAAGUGGAAUGGGGGAAUCAAAGGCCCACCGAAUAUCCAACUUCACCGGUUUGACAUUACCUUGGAGGAACUCAACGGGGCCCUGUGUAUGCUCCAGCCGGAGGUAGGAAACAUUUACCAUGGAACCAUGAGCAUAUGGCUCCUAAUCGAUUCCCGCAAGGGGGUCUGGAUCAAGGUGUACUCGAUCCCUGUGGACCCGUCUGCCUAUGGUCCCAUUGUGCCUUUGAGGAUAUUACGUGAUAACGGUAAACUGCUCUUCCAUGUCACGCUUAAAAUCGACGAAUUCGCGGUGCUGCAAAUCUAUGACCCUCGUCAUCGGACAUUCACGGACGCCCCCAAGAUGCUCGCGGGUGACAACGGUGGCGGUAUCAGCUUUUGCAGCCUGCAUUUGGAUAGUUUUCUGCCCGCCACCGUCUAG